UGGGGAAUAUUGCACAAUGGGCGAAAGCCUGAUGCAGCGACGCCGCGUGAGGGAUGACGGCCUUCGGGUUGUAAACCUCUUUCAGCAGGGAAGAAGCGAAAGUGACGGUACCUGCAGAAGAAGCGCCGGCUAACUACGUGCCAGCAGCCGCGGUAAUACGUAGGGCGCAAGCGUUGUCCGGAAUUAUUGGGCGUAAAGAGCUCGUAGGCGGUUAGUCGCGUCUGCUGUGAAAACUCGAGGCUCAACCUCGGGCUUGCAGUGGGUACGGGCUGACUAGAGUGCGGUAGGGGCGACUGGAAUUCCUGGUGUAGCGGUNGGAAUGCGCAGAUAGUCAGGAGGAAGCACCGAUGGCGAAGGCAGGUCACUGGGCCGCAACUGACGCUGAGGAGCGAAAGCAUGGGGA
This 403-nucleotide ribosomal RNA is filed under the name uncultured bacterium. RNAcentral describes it as "partial 16S ribosomal RNA". It matches the Rfam family "Bacterial small subunit ribosomal RNA", at positions 355 to 767 of the family's 1533-position model. The record is from RNAcentral.